Molecule: transfer RNA, 64 nt
Filed under: Dipodomys ordii (Ord's kangaroo rat)
Lineage: Eukaryota; Metazoa; Chordata; Mammalia; Rodentia; Heteromyidae
Rfam family: tRNA
About the family: Transfer RNA (tRNA) molecules are approximately 80 nucleotides in length. Their secondary structure includes four short double-helical elements and three loops (D, anti-codon, and T loops).
Source: Rfam by way of RNAcentral
GGUGCUCAGUGGUAGAGUGUUUGCCUUGCAUGCAAGAGGCCCUGGGUUCAAUUCCUCAGCACCA